Molecule: ribosomal RNA, 494 nt
Filed under: uncultured bacterium
Lineage: Bacteria
Description: bacterial SSU rRNA
Rfam family: Bacterial small subunit ribosomal RNA
Source: RNAcentral
AAAUGAAUUGACGGGGGCCCGCACAAGCGGUGGAGCAUGUUGCUUAAUUCGAGGCAACGCGAAGAACCUUACCCGGGUUUGACAUGUUUAGGCCUGGCUGUGAAAGCAGCCUUUCCUUCGGGACCUUUACACAGAUGCUGCAUGGCUGUCGUCAGCUCGUGCCGUGAGGUGUUCGGUUAAGUCCGGCAACGAGCGCAACCCGUACUGUCAGUUACCAUCAGGUAAUGCUGGGGACUCUGGCAGGACUGCCCGUGUCAAGCGGGAGGAAGGCGCGGAUGACGUCAAGUCCGUAUGGCUCUUACACCCGGGGCUGCAAACGUGCUACAAUGGUCGGUACAAUGGGACGCGCCCCUGCGAAGGGUAGCCAAUCUUUAAAACCGGCCCCAGUUCGGAUCGCAGUCUGCAACUCGACUGCGUGAAGUCGGAAUCGCUAGUAAAGGGAUAUCAGCAACGGUCCCUUGAAUACGUUCCCGGGCCUUGCACACACCGCCCGU